AGCACGAAAACCUGUAAGUCGCUUUGGUUAAAAGUGUCUGCUAAAUGGCAGAUA
Molecule: non-coding RNA, 54 nt
Organism: Salmo salar (Atlantic salmon)
Lineage: Eukaryota; Metazoa; Chordata; Actinopteri; Salmoniformes; Salmonidae
Source: Rfam